RNAcentral lists this transfer RNA (69 nucleotides) under Cerithidea tonkiniana. Its description in RNAcentral is "tRNA-Arg". Lineage: Eukaryota; Metazoa; Mollusca; Gastropoda; Potamididae. The record is from RNAcentral.
GCGUGAGAAGCGAACUAUUGCAUUCGGUUUCGGCCCGUACUUUGGAGAAUAUAAAUUCUUCCUCACGCU